This 110-nucleotide ribosomal RNA is filed under the name Caerostris extrusa. The record is from RNAcentral. Lineage: Eukaryota; Metazoa; Arthropoda; Arachnida; Araneae; Araneidae.
AACGGCCAUACCAUGCUGAAUAUACCGGUUCUCGUUAGAUCACCGAAGUCACAUUAUUGGGCGCGGUCAGUACUUGGAUGGGUGACCACCUGGGAACACCGCGUGCCGUU